GCCAGGCAUGGUGGCACAUGCCCAUAGUCCCAGCUACUCAGGAGGCUGAGGUGGGAGGAUCACUUGAGCCCAGGAGAUCGAGGCUGCAGUGAGCUGUGAUUGUGCCACUGCACUCUAGCCUGGGUGACAGAGUGAGACCCUGUCUCAA
Molecule: unclassified non-coding RNA, 148 nt
Organism: Macaca fascicularis (crab-eating macaque)
Lineage: Eukaryota; Metazoa; Chordata; Mammalia; Primates; Cercopithecidae
Rfam family: Metazoan signal recognition particle RNA
About the family: The signal recognition particle (SRP) is a universally conserved ribonucleoprotein. It is involved in the co-translational targeting of proteins to membranes. The eukaryotic SRP consists of a 300-nucleotide 7S RNA and six proteins: SRPs 72, 68, 54, 19, 14, and 9.
Source: Ensembl